CUCAACUUGUUAAGCUUUUUUCCUAAAUAAACACGAAAGAAAUGGGUCAUUGGAAUAUCACAUUCCUUGAAUCCUUGAUGAUUUCUCUCGAGGCACACGUCUUUCGUUAACUUUUCAUUCACUCUUUUCGUUUCUAAAAUACCUAAUUACUUGGACGAAAAGAGGGGUCAUUGGAGUCUAGCAUUCUGGUGAAACCUUUGAACAAUAUUUUGAAUGUUCAUUGUCCAUUAAAUAAUUUUACGAAUACAUUGAAUGAAAAA
This 260-nucleotide long non-coding RNA is filed under the name Lathyrus oleraceus (garden pea). RNAcentral describes it as "Pisum sativum (pea) long non-coding RNA (PSAT_LNC022990)". The record is from RNAcentral. Lineage: Eukaryota; Viridiplantae; Streptophyta; Magnoliopsida; Fabales; Fabaceae.